This 32-nucleotide non-coding RNA is filed under the name Mus musculus (house mouse). The record is from RNAcentral. Lineage: Eukaryota; Metazoa; Chordata; Mammalia; Rodentia; Muridae.
UACAAUUUUCAUCUAUGAAGUUGCCUCUGACC